GAUGAACGCUAGCGGCGGGCCUAAUACAUGCAAGUCGAACGGAUAUAUGUUUUUCGGAAUAUAUUAGUGGCGCACGGGUGAGUAACACGUACAUAACUUGCCCUCAAGCGGGGGAUAGCCUUGGGAAACUGAGAGUAAUACCCCAUAGAAUUAUUGGACGGCAUCGUUUGAUAAUUAAAACUACGGUGUUUGGGGAUAGAUGUGCGUCUGAUUAGCUAGUUGGUGAGGUAACUGCUCACCAAGGCGACGAUCAGUAGGGGGCGUGAGAGCGUGGCCCCCACACGGUACGUNAGGCACGACCCGGACCUCCUACGGGAGGCGAGCGAGUAAAGGAAAGUAAUUGGUUCGAAUAGGAGGGGAACGUACUGAA
Molecule: ribosomal RNA, 370 nt
Filed under: uncultured bacterium
Lineage: Bacteria
Description: bacterial SSU rRNA
Rfam family: Bacterial small subunit ribosomal RNA
Source: RNAcentral